Molecule: ribosomal RNA, 403 nt
Filed under: Verrucomicrobiota bacterium
Lineage: Bacteria; Pseudomonadati; Verrucomicrobiota
Description: Verrucomicrobia bacterium partial 16S ribosomal RNA
Rfam family: Bacterial small subunit ribosomal RNA
Source: RNAcentral
UGGGGAAUAUUGGGCAAUGGGCGAAAGCCUGACCCAGCAACGCCGCGUGAAUGAUGAAGGUCUUCGGAUCGUAAAGUUCUGUUGCAGGGGAAGAUAAUGACGGUACCCUGUGAGGAAGCCCCGGCUAACUACGUGCCAGCAGCCGCGGUAAUACGUAGGGGGCUAGCGUUAUCCGGAUUUACUGGGCGUAAAGGGUGCGUAGGUGGUCUUUCAAGUCGGUGGUUAAAGGCUACGGCUCAACCGUAGUUAGCCUCCGAAACUGGAAGACUUGAGUGCAGGAGAGGAAAGUGGAAUUCCCAGUGUAGCGGUGAAAUGCGUAGAUAUUGGGAGGAACACCAGUAGCGAAGGCGGCUUUCUGGACUGCAACUGACACUGAGGCACGAAAGCGUGGGUAGCAAACAGG